UAUGGCUUCACGAGAAAAGUGAACUUGAACUGAAGACGCCGUCGUGUCCCUUUUCUAUUCCGGGCUGAAUGGAGAAGGUCAUCAGGGGGCGAGGCUAACCAUCCUAUUCAGUGUCAGGCUAAGAGUGAGGAGAAAUAGAUUAGCCAUGUGCCACUGCUGUGGACGUCAAUACUGCAGAACUCCCCGCCACCCUCUGCUUGAUCAUUCAAGGUGACAUGAUGAAGCCCUCUGGAUGGCUUAUAUCCAUCGAGGGACAUGUCGUGAUGGGCCCACACCCUUUCUUUUUACAGGGAGUAGCAGCAUUCUUCAACAGCCAUUACGUAUUCAACCUUGAGUAGCCUGCCGCUGGAUCUUUGACAAUGGAGUUCAUUCAAAGGUGCUUCCUGGGCAUCAAUCCUGAAAGAGGUUCAAAGAUCAAGAAGCAGACAACAGUGAACCCUCAUGUGAGCACCCUUUUGAGGAAACUUAUGACUAGAAAGUUGAAUUUCUUGAACUCUUGAAGUUCAUGGCAUCUGCUGUACAUUGAAAAAUAUUUAUUUGUUAAUAAAUAUGCCAUUGGGCUA
Long non-coding RNA from Tachysurus fulvidraco (yellow catfish), 563 nucleotides. RefSeq lists it as uncharacterized. The record is from RefSeq and is a predicted model, not a curated record. The transcript is spliced from 5 exons. Lineage: Eukaryota; Metazoa; Chordata; Actinopteri; Siluriformes; Bagridae.